UACCUUAUAUAGAAACUAUAAACUAGAACUUUGGUUCAGAUCAUUUCAAUUCUAUCAACAAAAACUUGAAUGAACCUCAACUUAGACACAUGAAUUUUUAAUUAGUUGUUGUUAGUUUUCAACUAGCUUUCCACUUUGUCUUCACCCGACUUGCCAAUGUUGGUCGUCCGUUUGGCUGUGCAGGAUGCAUAAAUACGUAGUCACGUCUGGUCAGAAUGGGGACAUUUAAUCUUAUGCCUAGUUGUAGAGAGAAUGCCACUCUUUGAGGAGUUCGUAGUUGGUCUACUGAAAGGCAAAGUUUCUGCUCCUAUCCAAUAAUCCCUCAUUUUCCAAUGCAUGGCAUUUUCAAAUUUCCAGACCUUCGUCCUGUACAACACCUAUUACAGGACUAAGCUCCCUGUUGUGUUUAUUGUAAAUAAUCAAUUUGUUUUUUUUUUGUUCUAAACUUGCAUAAAUAUUUUACACUGGAUGUUUAAAAUCAAUCUAUCAACUAGCUUCCAGUAGUUUUGAGUACUCUCAGAUCUACGUGUAAUGACCACAAUUAUUCAAAUUCCUAAGCAGGUAGGGAUUUUACAGUAGAGCGGUAUAUAAAGAAAUACGAAUUUCUUGAAUUUUGUUACGUUAGUAUGAACAGAACAGAACUUUUGCACUAGGCAUCGACUAUGUGUGUAUGUGUUUGUGUGGCUAGGGUGAAGGUUUAAGAAUCAAAAUAUUGAUGGUUGAUGUCUUUCUAGCCAAAAGGAUAGUGUUAUUAUAUAGUAUAAUAUCAGUGUUUACGUGCACGUGCCAAUUUUUUUUUAAUGAAGGAUCGUCAAUAUGUACUAUCCAUUAAGUUAAACGUAUAUAUCGAUCAUAACGGAAUAGAUUUGAAAAUACCAAACAGGGUGUACUGCUUAAUUAAAAGGAUACGCGGAUCUAUGAUGGGCAGUACAUAUUGUAAAUAUUUUUUUUUAAUAUUUGAUUUUCCAAUUGUACUGCGUUAUUUAAUUCCCCAUUCAGAUGUUAUGGUAAAUUAUUCAUAAUUCUUCGAACUUUUCAUCAUGUAUAUUAUAAUUAUCAUGAUUAAAUGACCAGA
RNAcentral lists this long non-coding RNA (1075 nucleotides) under Mytilus galloprovincialis (Mediterranean mussel). The record is from RNAcentral. Lineage: Eukaryota; Metazoa; Mollusca; Bivalvia; Mytilida; Mytilidae.